Non-coding RNA from Oncorhynchus mykiss (rainbow trout), 790 nucleotides. The record is from RefSeq and is a predicted model, not a curated record. Lineage: Eukaryota; Metazoa; Chordata; Actinopteri; Salmoniformes; Salmonidae.
UUUACCCAAUCUCUGACGAGGGGGAGUCCCCAUGCCGCACAACCGAAACAGAUCGGUUAUUACUAACACAUUUUGUGACGUUUUUUAUUUUUUACAUCGGCAAGGGCUUUUUUUUAACGUCUGUUCGGUCGAAAUACGUCCAUUCAACUUGGACGCCACAGCUUAUACGAGUUAACUAGCUAGCAUCGUUUAUGAAACUAUAUUUAACUCACUAGCAAUGUCGGCCAGUGCCAUUUCUUACCGAAUCUGUCCCAGUCCACAUCGGAGAUACUGUCCAUAACAAGGGAGAAGUCGCACAGCACAACUGGUGGUAACUUGUACAAGUAGACCUUUCCGAUAUCCCAGGACGACAUCUUUUAAAAACCUUGCUAGCAAGCUAGCUGUAACAUUUUUGUUCUGAUGUUUCAAAUUCACUACGAAACUUCGCCAUCUCCAGCAAGCAGAACUUAACUCGUCAGCCACGCCCCCUACCCCACAUGAUGGGCUACGUCACAUCCUCUGCCUUCAUGGAAAAGUAUCAGUUACUGGAAUUUUAUUUAUUUUAUAUAUAUAUUUUAUUUUUUAUGCGCAUUUAGUAUUUUCUUGUAUAUACCGGUGUUUGUUUUUUUUUGUUAGACAUGUUUGAUGUAGCCAUGUAAAAGUUGUUAAUUUUGUAUUACAUUUUUUUUUUUUUAUGUCAAGUUUCAACGUUUUGGCUGUGUUAUUUUGUAAACUGUUUUGUAAGAUAUGUUUGUAUAUUGUGUUAUAUUUUUUCAUUAACAGGAAAACAUAAAAUAAAAGUGAACAACGU